GGUAGUGACAAGAAAUAACAAUACAGGGCCUAACGGUCUUGUAAUUGGAAUGAGUUAAGUAUAAACCCCUUUACAAGUAUCAAUUGGAGGGCAAGUCUGGUGCCAGCAGCCGCGGUAAUUCCAGCUCCAAUAGCGUAUAUUAAAGUUGUUGCAGUUAAAAAGCUCGUAGUUGGAUUUCUGUUAAUUCUUAUAUAUAGUACUACGGUAUUUAUAUAACAUUAACAUAAUUCAUAUUACUUAUUUAAAGUAUAUGAAAUUUUACUUUGAGAAAAUUAGAGUGCUUAAAGCAGGCUAUUGCCUUGAAUACUCCAGCAUGGAAUAAUAUUAAAGAUUUUUAUCUUUCUUAUUGGUUCUAAGAUA
This 360-nucleotide ribosomal RNA is filed under the name Cryptosporidium sp. B1-11. RNAcentral's name for it is "bacterial SSU rRNA". It matches the Rfam family "Eukaryotic small subunit ribosomal RNA", at positions 463 to 857 of the family's 1831-position model. The record is from RNAcentral. RNAcentral also lists the same sequence under 1 other name. Lineage: Eukaryota; Apicomplexa; Conoidasida; Eucoccidiorida; Cryptosporidiidae.